GACGAACGCUGGCGGCGUGCCUAAUACAUGCAAGUAGAACGCUGAAGGAGGAGCUUGCUCUUCUGGAUGAGUUGCGAACGGGUGAGUAACACGUAGGUAACCUGCCUGGUAGCGGGGGAUAACUAUUGGAAACGCUAGCUAAUACCGCAUAACAGUAGAUGUUGCAUGACAUUUACUUCAAAGGUGCAAUUGCAUCACUACCAUAUGGACCUGCGUUGUCUUAGCUAGUUGGUGGUGUAACGGCUCACCAACGCGACGAUACAUAGCCGAACUGAGAGGGUGAUCGGACACACUGGGACUGAGACACGGCCCAGACUCCUACGGGAGGCAGCAGGAGGGAAUCUUCGGGAAUGGACGGAAGGCUGAACGAGCAACGCCGCGGGAGGGAAGAAGGGUGUCGGAUCGGAAAGAUCUGUUGUAAGAGAAGAACGAGAGUGAGAGUGGAAAGUUCACACUGUGACGGUAGCUUACCAGAAAGGGACGGCUAACUACGUG
Molecule: ribosomal RNA, 495 nt
Filed under: uncultured bacterium
Lineage: Bacteria
Description: partial 16S ribosomal RNA
Rfam family: Bacterial small subunit ribosomal RNA
Source: RNAcentral